UUGAUAAGAUAGAAAUUGUAU
Molecule: microRNA, 21 nt
Filed under: Arachis hypogaea (peanut)
Lineage: Eukaryota; Viridiplantae; Streptophyta; Magnoliopsida; Fabales; Fabaceae
Description: ahy-miR3513-3p
Source: miRBase by way of RNAcentral